RNAcentral lists this ribosomal RNA (254 nucleotides) under uncultured bacterium. RNAcentral describes it as "partial 16S ribosomal RNA". It matches the Rfam family "Bacterial small subunit ribosomal RNA", at positions 524 to 776 of the family's 1533-position model. The record is from RNAcentral.
UACGUAGGUGGCAAGCGUUGUCCGGAAUUAUUGGGCGUAAAGCGCGCGCAGGCGGCUUCUUAAGUCUGAUGUGAAAUCUCGGGGCUCAACCCCGAGCGGCCAUUGGAAACUGGGAAGCUUGAGUACAGAAGAGGAGAGUGGAAUUCCACGUGUAGCGGUGAAAUGCGUAGAUAUGUUGGAGGAACACCAGUGGCGAAGGCGACUCUCUGGUCUGUAACUGACGCUGAGGCGCGAAAGCGUGGGGAGCAAACAGG